This 1102-nucleotide long non-coding RNA is filed under the name Crocodylus porosus (Australian saltwater crocodile). Its description in RNAcentral is "lncRNA (ENSCPRG00005010852.1)". The record is from RNAcentral. Lineage: Eukaryota; Metazoa; Chordata; Crocodylia; Crocodylidae.
UUGCAGUAUUUUGUACAAGAAUUUUGACACUGUUUACAGUAUUGUACAAGAAACAUCCUUCACUGCAAACAUAAAUGUUUCCUCUAGGGUGGAUUCAGGGACUUUGGAUCAGACUGUUAGCCAUGUAACAGCCAGCUCCUUCUGCUCAUCAGUCCUGGCUUGUGGUGGCACCAAAGGAUUAUAUUAAUUUCAUUGAUACUGGUGCUGGCAGUUCAAGCUACUCCUAUUUGCAUCUGUCAGGAGGGAAUUCCAGCUUCUGUUGUGAAAUGCUAGAGCUGCACAUGUCUAGUGCCCAAGGCAUUAUCUACAGCACAGGUAUGGAGAAGUUAACUUGCAGGAAGAGCACAGAGACCCAAUUACCAAUGACACUCUUAAGUGGUGAAGACCUGCAUCUAUCUUCUGUUCCCAAACAGAGCAGAGCAAUCAGAGCUAUACCCCAACUUCAUUUUACCUCCUGGAACAGAGUGAGAAAAUGUAGAGAUGAAUAGCACUCUUCAUACUGGUAGACAAACACUGCCACCCUAGGUCCAAUGUCUGCAAGAAGGGACUAAGUUCUAGCUACUUUCUUGACACUACCUUUCUUGAAGCUCUUAUGUCAGCUGGCUGCUGAGAAUUUGGAGUCCUUCAGUCUGAACAAGGUGGUGGAGGCUGGAUGCUAAAAAACACGGUGCACUUACUGAAUGAAUAGCACAGCUUUGGUUUAAGAAUCUUCAGUUCUUAUAAAAAUACCUUGCCCUGAGCAAGGUUUCUUGUGUUGAAUUUUCUUUAGAGACCAGAGCAGGAAUGGUGUAUAUAUUCAAGAGUUAAUGCACUUUUCUUUGUAUAAAAGCUGUGAUAUAUUCCUUUCUAUAAACAUUUUGCCAUUGGAUCUUAAUCUCUUCUUUCAUGUUGUAAAUAUGGAUUGUAUUAUGGAACACUGAAAUAAUUGCAGAGACUUUGUGGUGCAAUAUACUUUUGAUUAAAACUCUGGAUUUCUUUCUCUUCAAGUUUCAGUUACUUGCACACUGUUCCUAUGUCCAUUGUCCAACUAUAGCAAAGGAUUUAAGCCUCUACACUACCUCUGAAAAUCAAUACAAAUAAGAAAUUCUCUCUUAAGAAUGGG